Molecule: transfer RNA, 56 nt
Filed under: Cricetulus griseus (Chinese hamster)
Lineage: Eukaryota; Metazoa; Chordata; Mammalia; Rodentia; Cricetidae
Rfam family: tRNA
About the family: Transfer RNA (tRNA) molecules are approximately 80 nucleotides in length.
Source: Rfam by way of RNAcentral
UGGCUCAGAGGAAGAGCACUGGCUGCUCUUCCAGAGGUCCUGGGUUCAAUUCCCAG